This is a long non-coding RNA of Alligator mississippiensis (American alligator), 2907 nucleotides long. RefSeq lists it as uncharacterized. The record is from RefSeq and is a predicted model, not a curated record. NCBI's taxonomy places the organism in Eukaryota, Metazoa, Chordata, Crocodylia, Alligatoridae. The transcript has 5 exons.
CCUCCAGAUUGGUUCAGACUGCACUUUCCUUGCUGGUAUUCAAUCAUCCUGCUAAGCCAAUAUUCCCUCAGUAGGCUCCAAGAUCUUACUGCUGGCUGCACUCAGGUCUGGGCUUAUAUCUUGCCUAGACCCAGCUUUCCUCUAGGGUUAAAUGACUCCAUAAUGAGCCCUGGCCACACCUGUAGGCUGCCUUACCACUAGCCUGCCUGCUUUUUGAGGUGGAAGGAGCAACAAGCCUCCUGCCACAGAUGCUAUGGUUAUUUGUUUUCAGAUUGGCCUCUGCCCAGUCUGAUACUCUCAACAUUAAAAAAAUAAUCUUGAUGGAAAGUGUGUGAACCCCCUGCUGGCAUCUUGAGGCUGGAAAGACUUUUCUGCACUCUAUACCCAUCCCUUCAGACAGAUUUAAACCCAAAGCUGCAGAAGAAAAAAAAGACACUUCAUCUAUAUAGUGUGUUCUACUUGGCUACUCAAACAAUGCAGCAUUUUAAAGACUGUGCCUACAGGUUAUAUUCAGAAGCAUAACACAGCAGCUGAGUGCCCAGAGCAGCAGGAUGGGUGCAAUGGCAACUUUUGGCUGCCACUGUUCCAUCAGUGUGAUCAUGCGGAUACAGCUGCAACUGAUAUCUGCCCUCCCCACCCCAUGCCUCCCCAAGUUGGCACCUGAGGAGGUUGCCUUGGUCUCCCCACCCUAAUUAUGUUAUUGGUCAUAUUACAAUACCCUUAUACUUGCAAACCCAUCUAGUUUAUCACUGCCAAAUUCUUCCCUUCAAUUAAAUGGUAUGAACCCUCUUGAUAACACAAAAACUCUUGCAGUUCCUGCAGUUUUUCACUUCUCAUUUGAUUUAUUUCCUUGAAAAUCUUUUGAUACCAAGCUGUGGGGAAAUGCAGGCACACCAGAGGAUAGGUUAAGGAGCCAGGAUGACCUAGACAGACUGGUUCUAUGGGCUGAUUAGAAUCAGAUGAGGUUCAACAGGGAAAAGUGCCACGUCCUUCAUCUGGGUAGGAAGAACCUUCACCAUAACUAUAGGAUAGGUGGUAUCCCAUUGGCUGGCACAGCAUCUGAACAGGACCUGGGGAUCACAAUUGACUGGCGAAUGAAUAUGAGCCAACAGCGCAAUGAAGUCGCCAGCAGGGCAAAUAGAACUCGGGUGUGCAUCAGGCGAUGUGUUGCUAAUAGAUCCAGAGAGGUGCUUUUCCCUCUGUACUCAGCAUUCAUAGAUUCAUAGAAGAAGGGUCAGAAGGGACCUCGUAGAUCAUCAAAUCUGAUGAAGUGCAUUGGUGCACUUCUUGACACUUCUUUCACAAGUUGUUGUAUCAAAGUGCAUUGGUGAGGCUGCAACUGGAGUACUGUGCCCAGUUUUGGCACUUCAAGAAGGAUGCAGAUAAGCUCGAGAGAAUGCAGAGAAAAGCCGCUUGCAUGAUCAGGGGCCUGGAGGAUAGACCCUAUGAGGAGAGACUCCAGGAACUGGGCUUGUUUAGUCUGAGCAAGAGGAGGCUGAGAGGUGACUUGAUAGCCACCUAUAAGUAUGUCAGGGGGGAGCACCAAGAUCUGGGGGAGCAACUCUUCAGAAAGGCACCCCUUGGGACGAUGAGGACCAAUGGUCACAAAUUAACAGAGGGAAGAUUUAGACUGGACAUAAGGAAGAACUUAUUCUCCAUAAGGGUAAUCAGAACCUGGAACACACUCCUGAAAGAGGUAGUGUGGUUGCCAUCCUUGGAGGUGAGGAGGCUGGAUAAGAAGAGGCUGGAUAAGCACCUCAUUCAUAUACUGCCUAUUGACAUGUCAAACCAGAGUACUGAAAUGAUGAGAACAGUUGGUUUGUUCAUUUUUUUUUGUAAUUUUUUUUGGGUGGUGGGGCAGAAAAUGCAGAUUCAUCAAAACUGAAACUUUUCACAGGACUAGACCGCACCCAACAGCAUUGUUUUGGGAAAGAUGGCUCAGAUCCAGGCUGGAGUUUAUGGUCAAAACUAGAAAGAGAGAGAGUUGAGGACUCAUCACAAAAUACUACAAUGUUCUAACACAGCUGAAACAUAAAAGUUUAAGAGAGACCCGUCCAGAAUAGUCAACAAUGUGUUGUGGAUGACUGAGGUCAAAGUCCCUAGUCUGAAUCGGACAGAACAAAGAUUUGCACCUGAGUUGAGGCAUUCCAUGUGUAGGAGAGACUGACAAAAGGAUGAUUAAGGAAGAUCCUACUUCAGUGGGAGAAAGGACGACUUUCAUAAACAUCCAGAUGAAUGCAUGCAAGAAAUCCAUCAAAGACAGAAACCCACAUUUUCCUGUAGAGGCACAUUUCUCCCAAAAUGACCACUCUCUGGCAAAUCUCUCAGUCCUUAUCCUCAAAGGGAAUUUACAGAACAUCUUCAAAAGACGUGCCUAUGAACUCAACUUCAUCACCACUCUGGACACGAAAAAUCACGGACUGAACAGAGACAUGAGCUAUCUUUCUCACUACAGCCUGCCUAAAUUCCAACCACACUGGGUACCCAUACCAUAAUCCACACUCCACUUAGCUUGAGAAAAGAUACUGUGUUAUCCAAAAGCUUGCUAGAAACAUCAGCCCACCUCCAAGUUGAUCUAAUAAAUGAUAUCAACUCAAACCAAAAGACUCUUUCUAUCAUAUAAAUGAUGAAAGGUUGGCUUACAGAAUAGAAUGAUUCACUGGCUACUAUGAGCCUUAAUGAUCAAUUUAUUUGCUCUAGCCAUGGCUAAGGUAAAGGUGGGGAGGAUCUCUCGGGGAAUACCAAAUCUCAUGAAUGGAUGCAAGCAUCCACAUCCUCAGCAUUCUAAUAUUAUAAAAGCCUAAGUCUAUCUGUCUGCCCCUAAUGCUUUGUUCACGCUCUGAUUGGCUGUCUCAGCAACCAAGCAGAGUACCCUACACAGACAGGAACAGGCAGCGGAGCGUCGCC